Molecule: long non-coding RNA, 957 nt
Organism: Oncorhynchus masou masou (cherry salmon)
Lineage: Eukaryota; Metazoa; Chordata; Actinopteri; Salmoniformes; Salmonidae
Exons: 3
Source: RefSeq, a predicted model, not a curated record
AACCACACCGAAGAAGAAGACGCAUUUCCGCCAGAAGCACGACUCGACGCUGAUACGACGCUCACGAACAUUUUCUGCCGCAUCUCAUCACCAGACCAAACGCACUCGGGAAGUGGAUGAAUGUUUCCGCUUGCUCUACGAGACCUCGCCAUUUCAUUCAAGUUCUUCUCGGCUAAAUAAUUCGCUACAGGAAAUCAGUUCAAGAUCUACCCAACUUACCAUGUCUGGUUCUGGAUGGGGUGUUCCAGCCCAGAGAAGCUCACAGCGGGCUCCAGAGUUGCUAUUAGUGAAGCUGGGGGACUGCAAUCAAACAGUGGAAUUCAAUGUGAUUGUCAAGGAGGAGGAGGAGGAGAGAGAAAUCAAUGAGGGGGAGGAGGAAGAGCGAGAGGAGGACAGGGCCUCUGUUGACUCGGGAGAGAUCCCCAACCCAGACUCAGUCAACAAGCCCAGUUCCACAGCAUCAAUACUGCCUGGUUGUGGGAGUUACCCCUGUCCUCAAUGUGGAAAGUGUUUCAGUUCCUCAACUCAUCUAAAGAAUCAUCAAAGAGUACACACUGGAGAGAGACCUUUUGACUGCUCGGCAUGUGGGAAGAGUUUCAGUGAGAAAGUAAACCUUAAGAGACAUGAGAGAGUACAUAGUGGAGAGAAGCCUUACCACGGCACCACGUGUCGGAAGAGCUUCAAUCACUCAGGAAGCCUUAAGGAACACCAGCGACUACAUACAUGGGAGAAACCUUACCACUGCUCUCUUUGUGGGAAGUGUUUCAAUCGAGUAGGAGACCUGAAAACUCAUAAGAAAUCACACAGUGGAAAGAAGCCUACCUGUACUUUCAAUGUGAUUGUCAAAGAGGAGGAGGAGGAGGAUGAGGAGAAGGAAAUCGAUAAGGAAAAGAGGGAAGAGCAGGAACCUAGUGGUGUAGUUGACCCAGAUACAUCAAGAUUAUCUGGUUGUGGUCA